RNAcentral lists this transfer RNA (65 nucleotides) under Dipodomys ordii (Ord's kangaroo rat). It matches the Rfam family "tRNA". From Rfam's summary of the family: Transfer RNA (tRNA) molecules are approximately 80 nucleotides in length. The record is from Rfam by way of RNAcentral. Lineage: Eukaryota; Metazoa; Chordata; Mammalia; Rodentia; Heteromyidae.
GGUAGCUCAGUGGUAGAGUGCUUGCCUAGCAUACAUGAAAUCUUGGGUUCAAUUCCUGAGUACCA